This 677-nucleotide long non-coding RNA is filed under the name Homo sapiens (human). RNAcentral's name for it is "HSALNT0138401". Lineage: Eukaryota; Metazoa; Chordata; Mammalia; Primates; Hominidae. The record is from RNAcentral.
UAAAACAUUUGCAUUACUGCUAUAAAACCUGGAUCUGCAAACUGUGGCCCACAGGCCAAAUGUGGCCUCAGUGAAGUUUGUCUUUGUAAAGCCUGUGAGCUAGGAACAGUUUUUACAUUUUUAAGGAGGUGUAAAAACAAAACCCCCCAAAAACCCAGAAGAUGAACAUUUGAGAGACAGAGAGAAAGACAGAGAGAGAGAGAGAGAGAGAGAGAGAGAGAAAGAGAGAUCAUAUGUGAUCUGCAAAGCCUAAAAAAUAGUUGCUGUCUGGCCCUUUACAGAGAAAGUGUUAUGGAACAUGGAACAUGGUUAUGGAACAUGGCUGUGGCACUAUUUGAGGCUGGAGUGCAGUGAUGUGAUCGUGGCUUACUGCAGCCUUGACUUCCUGGGCUCAAGUGAUCCUCCAUCCUCAGCCUCCCAAGUGUCUAGGACUACAGGUCUCACUCUGUCACUCAGGCACAAUCAUAGCUCACUGCAGCCUCAACUUCCUGGGCUCAGGUGAUCCUCCUGCCUCAACCUCCCAAGUAGCUGGGCCACAGAUGUGCGCCACCAUGCCCAGCUAAAUUUUGUAUGAUUUAUAGAGACAGGAUCUCGAUAUGUUGCCCAGGCUGAUCUUGAACUUCUGGAUUCAACUGAUCAUCUCAUCGUGGCAUCCCAAAGUGCUGGGAUUAUAAGUG